Long non-coding RNA from Herpailurus yagouaroundi (jaguarundi), 322 nucleotides. RefSeq lists it as uncharacterized. NCBI's taxonomy places the organism in Eukaryota, Metazoa, Chordata, Mammalia, Carnivora, Felidae. The transcript is spliced from 3 exons. The record is from RefSeq and is a predicted model, not a curated record.
GCUGAGCGUAGCUGGACCUGCGGACAUCCUGCUCAUCUUCCUAACUCGUCAUCUCAGGUCCCUGUCAAGGGCGGCAGACGUGGGGCGAGGGCGGGCUGUGUGUGGACAGAGUGAGUGCUCGCCUCCUGCCCGCCUCCAGCGACCCUCUCUGCUUUCAGACGAGAUGCUUUGGAAAAGCAAAGAGCCCCAGGAGCAGUGUGAAAGCCAAGGAACAAGCUUCCGUUCCCUCACCCUCACUCAGUUCACCUGUGCACCAGUCAAUGGCAGUUGUGACCACGGAGGGAGAGGCAGAGAGAGAGGAUCCCAAGGUGGCUCUGUGCUG